Molecule: unclassified non-coding RNA, 249 nt
Filed under: Melitaea cinxia (Glanville fritillary)
Lineage: Eukaryota; Metazoa; Arthropoda; Insecta; Lepidoptera; Nymphalidae
Description: misc RNA ENSMCXG00005019578.1
Source: RNAcentral
UUUUAACUGAGGUAGGGCACAGCAGGAGUUUCCUGCUCAAAAUAUGGAACAGCCCGACUGGGGUAGUACCUCGACCUUACAGAAGAUCACAGCUAAAUAAUACUGUUUUCAAGCAGUAUUGUGUUCCUGUUGGGGAUUGGGUCGGCAACGCGCUUGCGAUGCUUCUGGUGUUGCAGGCGUCUAUAGGCUACGGUAAUCGCUUACCAUCAGGUGAGCCGUACGCUUGUUUGCCGACCUAGUGACAUAAAA